RNAcentral lists this long non-coding RNA (2275 nucleotides) under Triticum aestivum (bread wheat). RNAcentral's name for it is "long non-coding RNA (TAES_LNC025674)". The record is from RNAcentral. Lineage: Eukaryota; Viridiplantae; Streptophyta; Magnoliopsida; Poales; Poaceae.
CCCCCUGUUUUUUUUCAUGCCCGAAACGCCCUGGACGCGCAGUUGUCGCUCACACGGCCACCGCCUCCCCCGCGCUGCACCACCAUGUCCCGGGGGAUCAACGUCAUCGCCUACGCCGUCUACAACACCGAAUCGACGCUGGGGAGCAUCGCACCGACGGGAUCGAGGUCAUCUUCAACCUCGGUGUCGCCACCAUCCGCCGUUCGAUCCGCCACCGAUGAUGCAUCCCCGGCCUCCACGAGACCUCCUCGAGCUUCGCAGUGAGGCCUCGGUCCUAUAUGACCUCCUUCCUCUCUUCCCUGCAUCCCCUAGCUUCGAUUCCGGUGAAUACCGACUGUCACUGCCGCGGUAAGUAGUCGUAGCCGUCGUUUUGGUUCGCCUCAACUCACAACCAAUGUUCCUAUUACAUGUGGGCCACCAAUCCUCUGUUGACUAGUCAAAUUGAUUGGAUCAACCCCACUGUUGUAUGGCAAAGCACAGGGUGACAAAAGCUUUUCUAUUUAAAUUUUCGAAUUAAAUAAUUCAAAUAAAUCUAAGAAAGUUUGAAAAUUAAUAUAAAAUAAUAUGUAGCUCAGAUCAAAAUACUUUGUACAUGAAAGAUGCUCAGAACGACAAGACGAAUCCGAAUACGCAGUCCGUUCGGCCGUCACACAUCCAGAGCAUAGCGAACACGCAACUUUUCCCCUCCGGUUCAUCUGCCUGAAAACGCGAAACAUCGGGAAUACUUUCCUGGAUGUUUUCCCUCUUUGCCGUAAUCACCUAGUACUGCGUUAGGUCACCUCUAGCACCGCGUAUUGUCAUGUUAUGCCUUGUGAUGCUUUGAUUGCACUGUUAUUUAUUGUGUUCCUCUCCGUUACCUCUUUCCGAUAGACCCCAAGACCGUUGCCGAUACCCCUGUUGUCGACUACGGUGUUGACGCCCCCUCCUUGCCAGAGCAACCAGGCAAGCCCCUCCUUGAUCACCAGAUAUCGCCUACUCUUCUCUAUACUGCUUGCAUUAGAGUAGUGAAGCAUGUUACUGCUUUCCGUUAAUCCUAUCCUGAUGCAUAGCCUGUCUUUGCUACUACUGUUGUUACCUUUACCUGCAAUCCUAAAUGCUUAGUAUAGGAUGCUAGUAUUUCAUCAGUGGCCCUACAUUUUUGUCUGUCUGCCAUGCUAUACUAUCGGACCGUGAUCACUCGAGAGGUGAUCACGGGUAUAUACUAUAUACUUUAUACAUGAUACAUGUGGUGACUAAAGUCGGGUCGGCUCGUGGAGCACCCGCGAGUGAUUCACGGAUUGGGGGCUGAAAGGACCUUUGUCCCAACGGCCCUCUGUGUGGAUCUUUGUGGCGAAGCGACAGGGCAGGUUGAGACCACGUAGGAGAGAGGUGGGCCUGGCCCUGGUCGGCGUUCGCGGUUAUUUCAAGAUAACACAUUUAACGAGAUCUUGGUAUUUGAUCUGAGUUUGGCCACUAGCCUAUACGCACUAACCAUCUACGCGGGGACAGUUAUGGGCACUCGACGUCGUGGUAUCAGCCGAAGCCUUCGUGACGUCAGCGACUGAGCGGCGCGCGUCGGAUUGGACUGGAACGCUUGCUAGGCUAGGUCUGCUUCUGGCCGCCCUUGCAACAUGCAGGUGCGCAAUGGGCGAUGGGCCCAGACCCCUGCGCCAUAGGAUUUAGACCGAUGUGCUGACCUCUCUGUUGUGCCUAGGUAGGGUUGCGACGUGUUGAUCUUCCGAGGCCGGGCAUGACCCAGAAAAGUGUGUCCGGACAAAGGGGAUCGAGCGUGUUGGGAAAUGUGGUGCACCCCUGCAGGGAAGUUAAUCUAUUUGAAUAGCCGUGAUCUUUGGUAACAGAACGACUUGGAGUUGUACCUUGACCUUAUGACAACUAGAACCGGAUACUUAAUAAAACACACCCUUCCAAGUGCCAGUUACAACCGGUGAUCGCUCUCUCACAGGGCGACGAGAGGAGGAUCAUCGGUUAGGAUUAUGCUACACGAUGCUACUUGAUGAACUUACCAUCUACUCUCUUCUCCUGCUGCAAGAUGGAGGUUACCAGAAGCGUAGUCUUCGCUAGGACUAGCUAUCCCCCUCUUAUUCCGGCAUUCUGCAGUUCAGUCCACAUAUAAUACCCUUAUUCCAUUUGAUACCAAUGCAUACAUAUGUAGUGUAGCUCCUUGCUUGCGAGUACAUUGGAUGAGUACUCACGGUUGCUUUGCUCCCCCUUUUUUCCAUUUCCUAUACCCGAUUGCUGCGACCAGACGUUGGAGCCCAGGAGCCAGACGCCACCG